CCUACGGGAGGCUGCAGUGAGGAAUAUUGGUCAAUGGACGAGAGUCUGAACCAGCCAAGUAGCGUGAAGGAUGACUGCCCUAUGGGUUGUAAACUUCUUUUAUAAAGGAAUAAAACGAGGCACGUGUGCCUUUUUGCAUGUACUUUAUGAAUAAGGAUCGGCUAACUCCGUGCCAGCAGCCGCGGUAAUACGGAGGAUCCGAGCGUUAUCCGGAUUUAUUGGGUUUAAAGGGAGCGUAGAUGGGUUGUUAAGUCAGUUGUGAAAGUUUGCGGCUCAACCGUAAAAUUGCAAUUGAUACUGGGAGUCUUGAGUACAGUUGAGGUAGGCGGAAUUCGUGGUGUAGCGGUGAAAUGCUUAGAUAUCACGAAGAACCCCGAUUGCGAAGGCAGCUUACUAAACUGUGACUGACAUUGAUGCUCGAAAGUGUGGGUAUCAAACAGGAUUAGAUACCCUUGUAGUC
This 460-nucleotide ribosomal RNA is filed under the name uncultured bacterium. RNAcentral describes it as "partial 16S ribosomal RNA". It matches the Rfam family "Bacterial small subunit ribosomal RNA", at positions 338 to 795 of the family's 1533-position model. The record is from RNAcentral.